AAUGAACGCUGGCGGCGUGCCUCAGACAUGCAAGUCGAACGCGAAAGUAGGUUCGCCUAUGAGUAGAGUGGCGCACGGGUGAGUAAUGGUUAGGUAACGUACCUCUUCGCUGUGGAUAACCAGGGGGAAACCUUGGCUAAUACAGAAUAGUUCGAACUAGACUGCGGUCAUGUUCGAUAAAGCCGUAAGGCGCGGAGAGAGCGGCUUAACUCCUAUCAGCUUGUUGGUAGUGUAAAAGACUACCAAGGCUACGACGGGUAGCUGGUCUGAGAGGAUGAUCAGCCACACUGGAACUGGAACACGGUCCAGACUCCUACGGGAGGCAGCAGUUAGGAAUUUUGCGCAAUGGGCGAAAGCCUGACGCAGCAACGCCGCGUGAGGGAGGAAGGCCUCGGUUGUAACCUCUUCUAGCAGGGACGAAGGGUGGACUGACGGUACCUGUAGAAGAAGACACCGGCCAACUACGUGCCAGCAGCCG
RNAcentral lists this ribosomal RNA (478 nucleotides) under uncultured bacterium. Its description in RNAcentral is "bacterial SSU rRNA". It matches the Rfam family "Bacterial small subunit ribosomal RNA", at positions 29 to 517 of the family's 1533-position model. The record is from RNAcentral.